GGAGCUUAAAAGACAACCGCUGGGGAAUUGUCCCGAGAGGAAAGUCCGGGCAGCAUAGGAUAUGGUAGUCGCUAACGGCGACCGUCCGUGAGGAUAGGGAAAGUACCACAGAAACGUAUACCGCCCAUUUUGGGUAAGGGUGAAAAGAGUGAGGUAAGAGCUCACAGCAUGCAGUGGCGACAUUGGAUGAGGGCAAACCCUACCGGCUGCAAGGAGUGCUACGUACUUUGAUCCGAAGAUGCACGUUUACCGCUAGACUGUUAUGGCAACGUAACAGGUAGAUAGAUGGUUGUCGGUCUACUUAAGGAACUCACUGUUUAUGGCGUAAGUUGUGAGAGCGAGAACUCUGAUUGUAGAUUACAGAACCCGGCUUAUUGAGAGCUCAAAGA
This 389-nucleotide RNase P RNA is filed under the name Candidatus Saccharimonadota bacterium. RNAcentral describes it as "RNase P RNA component class A". It matches the Rfam family "Bacterial RNase P class A". Rfam says of the family: Ribonuclease P (RNase P) is a ubiquitous endoribonuclease, found in archaea, bacteria and eukarya as well as chloroplasts and mitochondria. Its best characterised activity is the generation of mature 5'-ends of tRNAs by cleaving the 5'-leader elements of precursor-tRNAs. The record is from RNAcentral. Lineage: Bacteria; Candidatus Saccharimonadota.